This is a long non-coding RNA of Limulus polyphemus (Atlantic horseshoe crab), 355 nucleotides long. RefSeq lists it as uncharacterized. The transcript is spliced from 4 exons. NCBI's taxonomy places the organism in Eukaryota, Metazoa, Arthropoda, Merostomata, Xiphosura, Limulidae. The record is from RefSeq and is a predicted model, not a curated record.
UUCGAGCAGUUAAUUUUGUAACCUGAAACAGUUCUACUGGCAUUACUUCAGAAGGUUUUAAAGUUUUAUCGUUUUUUUUUGGAAUUUUACAGAAAAAGACCUGUAAUUUCAAGUGAAUGCAACUAACUGUGCUGCACAAAUGGCUGAUGUAAAAACAAUACCAAAAGAGGGAAUGGAAGGAUGCUAUAAUAAAUAAUUGUGUGAAUAAAUUCUACGACCUGCUGGAAAAGGGUAUUUCCUCAGUUCUUGUAUCUCCUCUGAUGAUGCCAGAUAAACCUAGUGAAAAGUUGUGACAAAAUAAACAAACGUUUUACCCUGUACAUUCAAUCAAAAUUUGUCUGAAAUAUAUAGCACA